Molecule: ribosomal RNA, 513 nt
Filed under: uncultured bacterium
Lineage: Bacteria
Description: partial 16S ribosomal RNA
Rfam family: Bacterial small subunit ribosomal RNA
Source: RNAcentral
GAUGAACGCUGGCGGCGUGCCUAAUACAUGCAAGUCGAGCGAACGGAUAAGGAGCUUGCUCCUUUGAAGUUAGCGGCGGACGGGUGAGUAACACGUGGGUAACCUACCUAUAAGACUGGAAUAACUUCGGGAAACCGGAGCUAAUGCCGGAUAACAUUUGGAACUGCAUGGUUCUAAAGUAAAAGAUGGUUUUGCUAUCACUUAUAGAUGGACCGGCGCCGUAUUAGCUAGUUGGUAAGGUAACGGCUUACCAAGGCAACGAUACGUAGCCGACCUGAGAGGGUGAUCGGCCACACUGGAACUGAGACACGGUCCAGACUCCUACGGGAGGCAGCAGUAGGGAAUCUUCCGCAAUGGACGAAAGUCUGACGGAGCAACGCCGCGUGAGUGAUGGAGGUUUUCGGAUCGUAAAACUCUGUUAUUAGGGAAGAACAAAUGUGUAAGUAACUGUGCACAUCUUGACGGUACCUAAUCAGAAAGCCACGGCUAACUACGUGCCAGCAGCCGCCGUAA